UGACGACGAAGCUCUGCACCGAAAUGUUUUAGGUUUUUCAUAUUCAUCACAUUUCAGCUCGAUUAUCAGGAGUUGGCUAACAAUUUUAAUUUUUAUUUGAGAUCUAAUUAGUUAGAUCAUUGAAUUUCUCCACAACAUUUACCAUAUCUCAGGGUGGUAACAGAAGUGACCAAACUCGCCUGGGAGUUGGAUUUUCUACAUGUAGAAUCAUGGCCAUAUACUAGCAGUUUAGAUUGUAACCAUACGCCGUGCAUACUACUUUCCAGUACACAAGUACUGAAGUAAAGCGUUAUCGACUGCAGGAAGGCAUGGUUUUCUACAACAAGCAUGAAUACCGCGUCGUACCUACGGAUUUGGGCUCUUAGUUUUAGCUCACUUAGAGUUGUUAACUAUCUUCUACCAGAAAUUACUUCUUCUUGUUUGGGGAUCGGGCUGUGCAGAAGAUGGAUAGCGUUAGCCACGUUUUGGCACAUUUGUUUGUAUUGCCUCAUGGAUAUAUUGCAUGUUAUGUGGUAUGGAUGUUGGAUUUUCUUGAAUUUUACAACGCUGUACAUGGUUGUACACAACAAUAUAAAUUAGAAUUUAUAAAAAAUGAAAAUUAUAUAGUCAUAUGGGUGUUUUUUUUGUAGAUUUCGGAAAGAGCUUUCCGAAUAUAUAAAGUUUGUGA
Molecule: long non-coding RNA, 667 nt
Organism: Papaver somniferum (opium poppy)
Lineage: Eukaryota; Viridiplantae; Streptophyta; Magnoliopsida; Ranunculales; Papaveraceae
Exons: 5
Source: RefSeq, a predicted model, not a curated record